This 825-nucleotide non-coding RNA is filed under the name Candidiopotamon okinawense. The record is from RNAcentral. Lineage: Eukaryota; Metazoa; Arthropoda; Malacostraca; Decapoda; Potamidae.
UUGAUGUUUGAUUCUGGUUUCAAAUCUUUAUUGUAUUGUUAAAAUCGUAUGAAAGUUAUUUAUUAUAAGAUAAUAAAGGCUAAUUUUAUAUUAGUUAAAUAUAUGAGUAUAAUUAUAAUUAUAAUUAUCUUUUGUUCUCAGCGUAGGGCUUUAGUUUAUACAUGAGAGUGUGAGUUAGUGAGUAAUAAAAUUAAAUCUGAUAAAAUAUUUGUGCCAGCAUUCGCGGUUAAACUUUAAGGUUAAGUAAAGAAGUGUAUAUUUAAGUUACUUGAAAAAGUAUUAAGGUAUGUUUAUAAAUAUUAGUAGGUGAAAUUAUUAGUUAUUUUAUAAAAUUAAGUGUAUUUUAAGGAAGCUGAUAAGCUUUAAAGAUAAACUAGGAUUAGAUACCCUAUUAUAUUAAAGUUAAUAAAAAAUAUUGAAUUAUUAAUAGAUAUAACUUCAAACUUUAAGAAUUUGGCGGUAAUUUAGUCUUGUUAGAGGAACCUGUUUGAGUAUAAUCGAUACACCUCGUAAUAUCUUACUUGUUUUUAGUUUGUAUACCAUCAUUAUUAGAUAAUUUUUAAAGGAUAAAUUAUUGAAAUUAAAUUAUUAAAUAAAUUAGAUCAAGGCGCAGCUUAUAAAUAAGUUUUAAUGGGUUACAAUAAAUUUUAUUUAAAUGGAAAAGAGUUAGUAAGUUAAUCUAGGAAAGAGGAUUUAAUAGUAAUAUAAGUUUAAUAAGCUUAUAUGAUUGGAGCUCUAAAUUAUGUACAUAUCGCCCGUUGCUUUCAUAAAUAUAUGAGAUAAGUCGUAACAUAGUAGAUGUACUGGAAAGUGUAUCUAGAAUUA